Molecule: transfer RNA, 72 nt
Filed under: Bos taurus (domestic cattle)
Lineage: Eukaryota; Metazoa; Chordata; Mammalia; Artiodactyla; Bovidae
Also listed under: 6 other names
Rfam family: tRNA
About the family: Transfer RNA (tRNA) molecules are approximately 80 nucleotides in length. Their secondary structure includes four short double-helical elements and three loops (D, anti-codon, and T loops). Further hydrogen bonds mediate the characteristic L-shaped molecular structure. tRNAs have two regions of fundamental functional importance: the anti-codon, which is responsible for specific mRNA codon recognition, and the 3' end, to which the tRNAs corresponding amino acid is attached (by aminoacyl-tRNA synthetases). tRNAs cope with the degeneracy of the genetic code in two manners: having more than one tRNA (with a specific anti-codon) for a particular amino acid; and 'wobble' base-pairing, i.e. permitting non-standard base-pairing at the 3rd anti-codon position.
Source: Rfam by way of RNAcentral
UCCCUAGUGGCUCAGUUGGUAAAGAAUCUGUCUGCAAUGCAGGAGACCCAGGUUUGACCCCUGGGUGGGCAA